This 421-nucleotide ribosomal RNA is filed under the name uncultured bacterium. Its description in RNAcentral is "bacterial SSU rRNA". It matches the Rfam family "Bacterial small subunit ribosomal RNA", at positions 355 to 774 of the family's 1533-position model. The record is from RNAcentral.
UAAGGAAUAUUGGUCAAUGGACGCAAGUCUGAACCAGCCAUGCCGCGUGAAGGAUGAAGGUCCUCUGGAUUGUAAACUUCUUUUAUCUGGGACGAAAACGGGAUUUUUAUCUCAAUUGACGGUACCAGAGGAAUAAGCACCGGCUAACUCCGUGCCAGCAGCCGCGGUAAUACGGAGGGUGCGAGCGUUAUCCGGAUUUACUGGGUUUAAAGCGCGUGCAGGUGGCUUCGUAAGUUGGACGUUAAAUCUUUCGGCCUAACCGGGAGGUGUCGUUCAAUACUGCGGGGCUUGAGGGUAGAAGAGGGCGGUGGAAUUGCCGGUGGAGUGGUGAAAUGCGUAGAUAUCGGCAGGAACACCUGUGGCGAAAGCGGCCCCCUGGUCUGCUCCUGACACUCAGACGCGAAAGCUAGGGGAGUGAACG